UAUUAUUAUUAUUAUUAUUAUUAUUAUUAUUAUUAUUAUUACUAUCAUCAUCAUCAUCAUCAUCAUUAUUAUAAUUAUUAUUCUUAGAUAUAUGUAUAUAUAUAUAUCUUCGUAGCUUCCUAACGUCACACAUGAGUCACACAUGUAUCGACAAAUGCAAAAAAGAAGAUACAAUUAGCAAGAGAGAAAACAGUGAAGGUCGAUUGAUAGCGUAUGAAAAACAACGUUCUUUCAUUUUGUAAAUGUUGCUACAAAAUGGUAUUUCGAUUAAUUUCAUUGCAUUUUAAUACCUUUUAAUGUGUGUUAUAUAUAUAUAUAUAUAUAUAUAUAUAUACACGAAAUUCCAAAUCCAAAAAAUACAUUCGGUUUUCUCUCUUUUUAUUUCUUCUUUUUCUUCCAUUUUUUUUCAUCUCAUGUCUUAUUCGCUUUUAUUUUUAUAUAAAUAAUAUUUAAUAUAUCAUUGCUCUCGAAAACAUUUAAUAUGUUUUUUUAUAAAUAUUUAUUUCUCGUUAGGUCACAUAGUUCUUAGAGAAAUGAUUCUGAUUGGAACAUUUGUUUUUUUCUUAAUUUUAUUGAAGUAACAAAUAAGUAUGUCCGCUUAGUAUCGUUGGUCUCUUAUUUAUAAUAAAAAUAAACAUGUGAAUCGUAUAAUCGCUUGGUGCCUCUUCAAAAAGUGUUUCUCUUUUUGUGUUCGCGCGUAUCUUGUGAAACAUAAAGCAUCGAUUGCUUCUUCCAGUGUUUAAAAAAAAAAAAAAAAAAAAAAAAAAAGAAAAGAAAAGAAAAAACAAUGAAUCACGUGGUAUAUGUCAAUUGAUUGCUAAUUUUUAAGUAUUAUAACAGCGAUGAGUUAUAACUCUAGCAUAAUAUAAUCGAUUAACGUAUUAAGAAAUAAUUUUUAAGAUGACGUUGAGGAUAAGAAGCAUGAUGCUUCGUAACGGCUGACGUAUGGAACUGAUUAUCUAUUUAACUUUAAUGUAUUGUUUAAGUAUAAUCAUAAUGAAAUUUGUUCGUAUAUGUCGACAAAUAAGUCUUUUGUUCCGUAGAAAAGUAUAAUUAAGUCCAAUAAAUCUGUCGCACUACGUACUUGGACGCUUCAAAAAGAAUUUUAUAUUGACGCGUUCAUAAAUAUUCUUGUUAGAAAAUUAUUUUGAUUUUUAACAAGAAAGAAAACCUUAAUAUACUUGCUAAAGGAAAAAGAAAAGAGAGAGAAAGAUAUGUAUGUAUCGAAAUCUUCAUUUCGAGAAUGAAAUUAGUGCAAUAUUGUUAUAAUUUGUACGGACACAAAAUAUAUAGUGCGAUUAAUAAGUUAUUUCGAAUUUUUCGAAUAUUGCGAAAGUAAUUUAUUUGAUCUGAUGUUAUCAUAAUAAUUUAAUUAUUUAAAUUUUAUUCACGAUAAUUUGGAUAAAAAAUAAAACAAAACCGAUUCCAAAUAAUAAUAAUAAUAUAUUAUUUAAAAUAGAGAAUGAGACAAUAAACAAUGAUAAGACAUUCACAUUGAUGUGUUUUAAAUUGUUAUUUUGAAAGUCGAUUAACUUUCAAAAAAAGAAUUUUUAUUUCUACUUUUAUGAAAUAUUGAAUACAAUAAUUAAUGUAUUUAUUAAUGUUUUUACAUUUUUUAUAAUAAUACUUUUAUCUUUUUUUCAUAUAAAUUAGAUACAGUUUUUUCAUUUAAUAUUUUUCGGAACUUCAUUUUCGAAAAGUAGUAAAAACAUACACAUCGCUCUGUAAAUGUUAUUAAAUAAAAACAAUCAGGUCAUUACAUGAGUCCUAUUAAGUAAUAUCACAUAUACAUAUAGCAUAUAUUCAUCUGUAUCUUUAGAAAAAAUUGUUCAUUAUAAUGUUAAAUAAAAAUAUUACAUGUACACUAGCAUGUCUGUCAUUCAAGACUACUACUCUUAUCAAAAUAACAUUCUCAUAAAUAAAACAUCUCAAUUAUUAUCUAGUUAAUAUAUUAAAGAAUUAUAUGCAAUUCUUUUUACGAAUCGAAAAUAUUAGAAUAUAUUUUACGUUUAUAUUGAUUUUAUCAUUGAUCAUUAAAUAAACAUUGAAACAUUUAGUUUUUUUUUAUUUUCUUAGUUUUAUAUAUAGAUUUUAUAAAAGUUUUAUUUUUUACUCUCUCAGUCUUUUAAAAACACUUAAUCUUUCUAAAUGCUAAAUACAAUGUAAAUAUAAUUACCAAAUCAGAUGAUAAUAAAACUUUUAUUUCGUUCAUUCCUAUAACGCAGAUAGUACAAGCGAUCAAUUCUUAUUGAAAUGUAUUCUUUUUUAAUACCACUCUAAGUUUGCAGAUGGCGAUAAAUGUGUUUUUCACACUUGUACCUAGUUCCUGUAUUGUAUUAAUUUUGAACUCUAUAUUUUAUAUAUAUUAUUUUUAUAUUUUAUAAAUGAGCUCCUUUUUUGUAAUAAAAAUCUAAUACAAAGUAUAAAUUCUAGAGUGAAAUUUGUCCUUGUUAUUGCUUCUAUUUAUUCCCUAAAGAGAUUCAACAUAAUGUAAAUUUACUAUAUUAUUUGGUAUCAGUGGUAUACGUUUCUUUUCGUCCUCCUGAAAUACGGUGAAUAGAUGUUGUAUUAUCAACGAAUUCUUAUUUAACUCAUAAAAUGGGUUUUGUGAAAGUUGUUAAAAAUAAACAAUACUUUAAAUUUUAUCAAGUCAAAUUCAAGAGGCGCCAUGAAAGUAAAACUGAUUAUUAUACACGUAAAUGAUUGACCAUCGAAGACAAGAAUAAGUGAAAUACUUCUAAAUACAGUUUCCUUAUUCAAGGAUUAAAAGAGUUAAGAUUGUCUGUACUUUCUAUAGUUAUGAACUUCCAAGAAAUGUAAUUAAAAAUUUGGACUUACCAAUUAUGCACCAGCUUAUUGUACUGAACUGUUGGUAGCUAGAAGGCAUCAAAAGAUUUCCAGGUGAAUCUAAAUCUUUUAAUGCUAAGGUACAUUGAAAGCAUAUCUUUGAUCAAUACGUUGCAAAUUACAUGACGACAUUAAAACAGUAAGACGACGAAGUUUACAAGAAACAAUUCUCCCAGUAUAUUAAGAAUGGAAUUGUUACUAACAAUGUAAGUAAAUAAUAUAUA
Vespa velutina is the source of this 3071-nucleotide long non-coding RNA. RefSeq lists it as uncharacterized. NCBI's taxonomy places the organism in Eukaryota, Metazoa, Arthropoda, Insecta, Hymenoptera, Vespidae. The record is from RefSeq and is a predicted model, not a curated record. The transcript has 4 exons.